RNAcentral lists this ribosomal RNA (275 nucleotides) under uncultured Bacteroides sp. Its description in RNAcentral is "partial 16S ribosomal RNA". It matches the Rfam family "Bacterial small subunit ribosomal RNA", at positions 338 to 610 of the family's 1533-position model. Lineage: Bacteria; Pseudomonadati; Bacteroidota; Bacteroidia; Bacteroidales; Bacteroidaceae. The record is from RNAcentral.
CCUACGGGUGGCUGCAGUGAGGAAUAUUGGUCAAUGGGCGGGAGCCUGAACCAGCCAAGUCGCGUGAAGGAAGAAGGAUCUAUGGUUCGUAAACUUCUUUUGCAGGGGAAUAAAGUGCAGGACGUGUCCUGUUUUGUAUGUACCCUGAGAAUAAGGAUCGGCUAACUCCGUGCCAGCAGCCGCGGUAAUACGGAGGAUCCGAGCGUUAUCCGGAUUUAUUGGGUUUAAAGGGUGCGUAGGUGGUUUGAUAAGUCAGCGGUGAAAGUUUGCAGCUU